RNAcentral lists this ribosomal RNA (442 nucleotides) under uncultured bacterium. RNAcentral describes it as "bacterial SSU rRNA". It matches the Rfam family "Bacterial small subunit ribosomal RNA", at positions 958 to 1399 of the family's 1533-position model. The record is from RNAcentral.
AACGCGAAGAACCUUACCUGGGCUCGAAAUGUAGAGGGCGACAACAGAAAUGGUGUUUCUCGAAAGGGCCUCUAUAUAGGUGCUGCAUGGCUGUCGUCAGCUCGUGCCGUGAGGUGUUUGGUUAAGUCCAGCAACGAGCGCAACCCUUAUCGUUAGUUGCCAGCGCGUCAAGGCGGGAACUCUAACGAGACUGCCUGGGUUAACCAGGAGGAAGGUGAGGAUGACGUCAAGUCCGCAUGGCCUUUAUGUCCAGGGCUACACACGUGCUACAAUGGUCGGUACAGAAGGCAGCGAAACCGUAAGGUGAAGCAAAUCCCGAAAAACCGAUCUCAGUUCAGAUUGUAGACUGCAACUCGUCUACAUGAAGUUGGAAUUGCUAGUAAUGGCGUGUCAGCAACAACGCCGUGAAUACGUUCCCGGGCCUUGUACACACCGCGUGUCU